UACAGAGGGUGCGAGCGUUAAUCGGAAUUACUGGGCGUAAAGCGCGCGUAGGCGGCUUUGCAAGCCGGAUGUGAAAUCCCCGGGCUUAACCUGGGAACUGCAUUCGGGACUGCAUUGCUAGAGUAUGGGAGAGGGAAGUGGAAUUUCAGGUGUAGCGGUGAAAUGCGUAGAUAUCUGAAGGAACAUCAGUGGCGAAAGCGGUUACCUGGAGCUUUGCUGACGCUGAUGCGCGAAAGCGUGGGGAGCGAUCCGG
This 253-nucleotide ribosomal RNA is filed under the name uncultured bacterium. RNAcentral's name for it is "partial 16S ribosomal RNA". It matches the Rfam family "Bacterial small subunit ribosomal RNA", at positions 524 to 776 of the family's 1533-position model. The record is from RNAcentral.